Molecule: ribosomal RNA, 497 nt
Filed under: uncultured bacterium
Lineage: Bacteria
Description: partial 16S ribosomal RNA
Rfam family: Bacterial small subunit ribosomal RNA
Source: RNAcentral
GAUGAACGCUGGCGGCGUGCCUAAUACAUGCAAGUCGAGCGGACGGACGAGGAGCUUGCUUCUCUGAUGUUAGCGGCGGACGGGUGAGUAACACGUGGAUAACCUACCUAUAAGACUGGGAUAACUUCGGGAAACCGGAGCUAAUACCGGAGAAUAUUUUGAACCGCGGGGUUCGAAAGUGAGAGACGGUCUUGCUGUCACUUAUAGAUGGAUCCCGGCUGCAUUAGAGAGUUGGUAAGGUAACGGGUUACCAAGGGAACGAUGCCUAUCCGACCUGAGAGGGUGAUCGGCCACCCUGGAACUGAGACACGGUCCAGACGCCUACGGGAGGCCGCAGUCGGGAAUCUUCCGCAAUGGGCGAAAGCCUGACGGAGCAACGCCGCGUGUGUGAUGAAGGUCCUCCGAUCGUAAAACUCUGUUAUUAGGGAAGAACAUAUGUGUAAGGAACCGUGCACAUCGUGACGGUACCUAAUCAGAAAGCCCCGGCUAACUACGUG